RNAcentral lists this transfer RNA (72 nucleotides) under Ictidomys tridecemlineatus (thirteen-lined ground squirrel). Its description in RNAcentral is "Spermophilus tridecemlineatus (thirteen-lined ground squirrel) tRNA". It matches the Rfam family "tRNA". Rfam says of the family: Transfer RNA (tRNA) molecules are approximately 80 nucleotides in length. Lineage: Eukaryota; Metazoa; Chordata; Mammalia; Rodentia; Sciuridae. The record is from Rfam by way of RNAcentral.
AGGGCUGUAGUUCAAUGGCAGAGCGCUUGCCUAGCAUGCAUGAGGCACUGGGUUCAAUCCUCAGCACCACAU